GCAUUGAUAAUAAAUAUUAAAAAGAAGAAACAACUGUUUACACCCCUUGUUCGACAUUUAAACCUGCCUUAUCCUUAUUGGCCAACAAGGCCGGUGCCCAAAUUAAUUCAUCACUAGUGCAAGAUCAACCAAUCCUAAAUGCCCAAUCUCCCUUUGCAUGAACAACCGAUGGUCCUGAUUGUAUUUUUCUGGCUGAUCAUAACUCAUUAGAGCUUUCAUAACGUCUUUCCCUCGAUUUCACUCGAAACUUCCCUCAUUACCUUCCAAUUGCAGUCGUCAUCUGUCUUCCGAGCCAACUCUUCCACUCUCGGUGGGGCCUCUUCAAUCUAGUAUUUGGCCGAUUCAAACUGCUUCCCUUCUUGAGCUAAACCAUAGGCGACUGCAUUCACUUCCCGAGGUAUAUAACAAAACUCUAUUUCUUCAAAUGUCUCAACUUUGUCUUUACUAGCUCUAAUCACCAUACCUAUUACUGAUUUAUCCUCAUUAGUCGAUUUCAUCUUUCUAAUUACUGUCAGUGCAUCCCCCUCCACCAAAAUCCGUCGAAAACCCAAGUCCUCGGCGAACUGUAAAGCUUGUAAGCAUGCACGCACUUUUACCAUUGUUGGAUCCAAAAUGUGAUCAAUCGGGUAAGUACAUGCACCCAUAAUUAACCCUUCAUAAUUUCUAAUGAGGACUCCUUGUACCGAUUUCUUUGUGGUCUGUUGAAAAGAGGCAUCGAAAUUCACUUUCAUUAUGUGUUCCUAUGGUGGCCUCUAUAAUUUGUCCAUAUCCCUCUGCAUAUUUACUAUGAAACUUUCCAUGCCAUUCGCUCCUGCUAUAUAUGCUUAAAUGAAAGAUGACUCCAUAAGCAUUCUUCUCUAUAUUCUCAUGAUACCUUUUGUUACGAUUAUAUCAUACUGCCCAGAAUGCUAUUGCUACGGUCUUACAUAUUGCUAUAUUUUCCCUUGUAAAAGCAAUUGUUAACCACAUUUUCCAUUCUUGUUCAUUGUUGUUUGUUGAGAAAGCUACCCCAAGCCCUACAUAAUCUGCCCUGUAAAAGAGCAAUCGUGAAACUCAUGCUUAACUGUCUCUUCCCUUGCUUCACAAAUAGGACACUGGCUCACCACUACAAUCCUUCUGUUUUGUAAUACCUUUAAAAUAGGCAUGUAACUAUUUACUAUUCUCUGCAGUGUAAUUUUUAUUUUGGUAACAGCCUGUAAAUUCCAACGCUUAGUGUAGAAAACUUUGGGUAGUGUAUUCUGUAAUGCUCCAUCAUAAUUUAGAAUGUCUGUAUCCUUGGUCAUAAUCCACUUGUACCCACUUUUCACUGUAUAUACCCACUAUUGUCGCCUUUCCAUACUCGCUCAUAUACUUGCACGCUAUUGGAUAACAUAAUUGCCAAGAUCCUCUGCACAUCAUCUUCUUCAAACUGACUACGAACUACGUCUACUUUCUAGUUACACUCAGUUGCAUUGAUUAGAUUUGAUAUUGUUGUGUAACCAAUAUUGAUUCUUUCCACUUGUACCCUCCCUUGGCCAAGUUCUGGAAACCAGACAUCAUUCCAGAUGUUAAUUUUGGUUCGAUCCCCUACUCUCCAACCAGAACCCUACUUUAGCAACUUCCGUUCGCUCUAAAUACUCUUCCAAGUAAAAGAAAGGUAAGAACCCAAAUUAGCCAUCAUGAAAUCCCCACUUGGAUAAUACUUUUCUUUCAUUACUCUUGCUAACAAACUGUUUAGAUUCGCGACUAACCUCUAACCCUGUUUUGCUAACUAAGCCACAUUAAACUUAGCUAAAUCCCUAAAUCCCAAUACCAUGCAUCUUUAGCCUACAUACUAAUUUCCACUGACACUAAUGAAUCCCUUUAUUGGUAUUAACAUCACGCCACCAAAAUCUAGAAAUUAAGUUCUCAAACUCAUGACAUGUAUAACCUAGUAAUAAAAAAUAUUGCAUUGCAUAGAUUGGUAUUGCGUGCAAAAUGGGCUUAAUAAAUACUUCCUUUCCUUCGGUCAAGAGUUGUCUUGUACUUCAAGUCUCCAUCCUCCUAAUCAAUUUCUCUUUAAGCCCUACAAAAGCAUCUCUCUUCCGACAUCCUACCAUAGUUGACAACCCAAGAUAUUUUUCAGGAUUGUUAGAAAUCCUUACUCCAAGUACCCUACCAAUUUGAUCUUGCAUCUCAACCAACACAUUUCCACUAAAAUAAAUAAGGGGCUUAUCAAAAUUAACGAGCUGGCCUAACACCCUUUCAUACUACUUCACAAUCCUCUUAACUGCAUUUGCCCCUUCUUCAUUUGCUUUGGCAAACAAUAUAUUAUUAUCUGCAAAAAAUAAGUGUGUUACCUUUAAUAUGCUUCGUCCCACCUUUGGCCCCCUAAUCAAACCAUCAUUUUUUGCUAGAUUAAGAAUAGGUUGGGCUUAACGAAUCUCUUUGUCUCAACCCCCUAGAAGGUUGAAACACCUUUCUUUGAACCCCAUUGGGCACCAUAGAAUAAGACACCAAUGUUAUACACCUUAUUACCAAAUUAAUCCACUCCAUGCAAAACCCCAUUUAUGUCAUCAUUCUCUCCAGAAAAAAUCAUUCCACUCGAUCAUAAGCCUUACUCAUGUCUAACUUUAAAGCAAAAUACCCUUUAGAUUCCAUCAUUAUUAUUUUUUAAAGAAUGAAAAAAAAGAAUGUAGCAGUUCAUAUGCAAUCAAAAUGUUAGUGGUACUUUGUCCUCUCGACACAAAAGCACAUUAGACUUCAUCAAUACAAAUGUUCAAUACAUGUCAAAAUCUAGUGACCACCACUUUAGAGAUUAUCUUAUAUAGCACAUUACAAAGACUAAUUGGUCGAAAUUGAGUCAUAUUAGAUAGCAUAUUAACCUUUGGUAUAAGAAUAAUAUUUGUAUGAUUAAUCUUACUCUUCUCUAUUAUUCAAAACAUCAAUGCAAAAUUUUGAAAUAUCCCCUUUAAUGAUGUCAGUACUUUUGAUAAAAAAGAACUAGAAAACCAUUCGAACCUAAAGCUUUCAGUGGAGCCAUACACUUAAUUGCAUCAAAGAAUUCCUCAACCUUGAACUCUACUACUAUAUCUUUAUUCAUGCUUUCCAUAACACAUUGUCGGACCCCCGUUAAAACGUGACCCCAGUCUUAUACCUCACUAGUCGUAAACAAAUUCUUAAAGUAAGAUGUUGCCAUUCCUAUCAUCCCCUUUUCAUCCUUAACCCAUUCUCUAUUCCUAUCAUCCGUUAAAACUUACCUCCUGCACCCUCUUUACUUCCUCUUUAAAAUCUUCCUUUAAAACCCAAUUUGCAUUAAACCGAGAUCGAUGUUGCUUUGUCACCCACCUAUUUUUACUCAUGUCGUCUGUAUUCGCCAAUAUUGGGCAAUGAUCUGAUAUGGAGUGAAUAAGAUGCUUAACGUAAUAACCAGGAAAGAUACUUUACCAUUUCGGAUUAGCCAUUCCCAAAUCCAACCUUUCCUCUAUAUCAUUCUCUAGAAAAUGACCUCUUUUCCAUGUAAAGCACUGACCAGAAAAACCCAAAUAAGCAAGUUGACAAUCCUCUAAUACCAUCCGAAAAGCCAACAUAUUAUUCUCAUUUCGAACAUGUCCCCCUCUAUUAUCAAAAGAUAAAAUCAUUUCAUUAAAAUCCCCUAUAACUAACCACGAUAAUGAGCUAUUACCAUUUAACUAACAAACCAAAUCCUACGACUCCUUCCGACACCUUUCAUCUGAUGCACCAUAAAAAUCAUUCAAUCUCUAUGAAAUCAUCCCCUCACCUUUACAUACUUCCACAUCAAUGUGCGACUUCGAGUAGCUCCUUAGUUGAACAUUAUAGUCCCUUGUCCAACCUAAUGACAAACCUCCUCGCAUUCCGACGGCUUCAACCUUAAUUUCAUUGAUAAACCUGCAUUUCUUUCUGACCCUUUCCAUUCUCCUUGCACUUAAUUUUUUCUCUAUAAGAAACAAGAGAUGGGGAUUAAUAUGUCUUAGCUUAACUGUGGCUGCCAAUAUUUCAGAAGGAAUUCCCAAAUCUGUUGAAUCAACAUUACUAGAAACAACCAAAUUUACUUAAUUUAUUAUUUUCCUUUUCUUACUAUCCACUAUUUCAAUUGGACUAUCCUCCAUAUCCGAUACUAGUUCUAUCUGCUCAUCUCUAUCUAACCCAGAUGUUGACCCAGAUUUUCUAGCCUAGCUAAAACACUCAUGAUCAAAUUACAGUUAUUCCCUAACUUUUGUAUUUGGAUAAAGUUAACUUUUCCCACCCCCUAUCUGAUAAGACCAACGUGUUUGGAUAUCUCCAAAAUUCGUCCCUCCCUUAUCAACAUCCACUUCUACUCCUAUCGGAACGCUUCCAUAACCAUUACCCCUCAAACACUUACACACCUUCGACAAGGCCCUCCUAGGCGCUACCCUUAACGAAAUAUCCCAAUCAAGAUCCACCUCUUAUGAUUUUAGUGUUAAUCUAAUUGGGCAAAAACCUUCACCAUGCCCCAACUUCCCACACAGAAAACAAAGUAGUGGUAGUUUUUCAUAUUGGAAAUGUAACAGCCCGAUUUUCAAUGGUGAUGGAAUAGUGGUUCGGGACCACAAAUUUCCAUUGUAUUGACUCUUAAAUAUUAUUUUUAGAAUAUUUAUGAAGUCAUUAGAGUCUUAAUAAAAUUUGGUUCAGAAAUAUUAAUGUUUAGAUAAAUAAUUAAAGAAAAAAUAACUAAAUUGUCAAAGAUGCAACAUAUAGUAAUUAUAGCGUUUAAGUGAUCAAAUAGCUUAUUAGUUAAAUGAGGAAGGACCUAAGAGGUAAUUUAACCUCAGUUAAUUUGUUUGGACGGCACUAGCAUUAAAAAGGAUAGAAAUGUUAAACAUUUGAUGGCAAUUUUGUAAUUAUAAUAAAAUUAAAACAAAAUUAAGUAAAGAAAAGAAAAGAGAGUUUUUUCAUUUUUAUUUCCUCCAUAGACGAAUCUAUCAAAAACCAAGCUUGGAGAAUCGGUCAAGCUAAUUUCUUUGCAUGUGAGUGAUUCUCUUACCCGUUUCUUAUAAUUUUUAUAUUUUUGAGAUUGUUGCAACUAGGUCCAAUUAUCCCGUACCUUCGUUUUUAAUUCUAUUAAAAAAUUUUGAAGUUUUCAUUGAUAAAUCUUGAAUGUUUUUUAUGAAUACCAUGUAUUUGAAGUUUUUAUUCUGCUGUUUUAUGAUUUUGUAAAGUGAUUUUGGUUAGAUUUUGAUUUUAGGAUUAAAUUGUGAAAAUAUCGAAAUUUUAAGGUUUGAUAGUGAAUUUAAUGAUUCAUUAGGGACAAUUUAAUGGUCUAGUAUAUUUGGAUGAAAUAUUUACUUAAGAAAAAUGGUUAAUUUGAUGAAUUUUGGGUUAAGGGACUAAAUUACAAAAAUUAUCAACGUUUGGAAUAAUUGUGUAAAUUCAAAAAAUAAAAGUGUAACAGCCAAUUUUAAGUGAAACCGGAAUAGUGGUUUCGGGACUACAAAUUUGAGUUAAAAAGAAAAUUUAUUUUAAUAUUAUUGUAUGGUCAGCAUUAUGAUAGGAAUGAUGUAUGAAAAUUUCGAUAAAAAAAUUUUAUCGAUUUCAUGUUUAAUUAUAGAAAGGAUCAAAUUGCGUGAAAUGCAAAAGUUGAAUUCUAAGAGCUAGAAAGAUCAAAUAGCUAUGGAAUUCAAAAUUUGAGAUCCUUAUAUGAAAUUAGACCAUUAAGUGUAGUUAGUAGAUAAGCAUGCUUAGUCAUCUACGGAAAAUUAAAUAAAGAAAAUGACUCAAUUAGAAAGAUGAAAUAAUAAAAGAUAAUAUUUUAAUUAAAUAGAAAAUAUCAUCAUUUUAUAUCUUCUCCAAAAUUUUCUAUGGAAACCCUAAAUAAGAGAGAGAAAUUCAAGCAAGCUUAAUUGUGUAAGUAAUCAUGUCCAGUUUUUAGUAAUUUUUAUAUUUUUGAGAUCGUAGUAAUCUAAUCUACCUAUUUUGGGGAUUAAUUUAUAAAGUUAUUAAAGUAUUAAAAGUUUUCCAUUGAUGAGUAUGCUGAAAAUUUGAAAUUUAUGAUAGAAAAUGAAAGGUUGUUAAUAGAUAAACAACUUCUGUAAAGGAAAUUUUCAUGAAAUUAUGAUUUAGCAAAUUUCUAAAUUUUAUGAAUUGCAUGGGCUGUAAAUGCUAUAUGAAAAAUUCAUCUAGGCUUGGAAUAAGAAUUAAAUUGUAUGAAUUUCAUUUUCUGAGCCUAAGGAUGAAAUUAGAAUUAAUUAAAAGUAUAGGGGAAAAUGAUACUUUUGCCGAAAAUGUAACUUGGAUUGAAUUGAAUAUGAGAUGUGUUAAAUUGAUGUUAAAUUCAUUUAUAUAGAUCCAAAAAGAUCAAAUAAAGAGUUAGAUCGAGGAAAAGAAAAAAUAUCGGAUUAGUAGAUUUUCGUAUACGAGCAAGUGACGAGGUAAGUUCAUGUAACUAAAAUGUAAGUUUAUAUGUUUAAAUUGAAUGUUAUGAUUGUGAAAUGUAUGAUUGCCAUGUAUAAACAUUAAUCACAUAUCCGAUAAUUUCCGACAAGUGCUAAGUCCUCGUUUGAAUAAAUGAAAUUCGAUUGAUACAGGAUUUCCCUUAUUGGUUGUGGUCUUGCAUAUGUUGCAGACAGACCAUAGCUCUUACGAGCAUUCUGUUAUAAACCCUCUCGAGCUUCCCAUUACAUGGUUCCUACGAGCAUCCCGAUCAGUUUGAUCCUGCAUGUGUUGCAGACAUACCACAGCUCUUUGUGAGCGUUCUGUUAUAUGAUCGGUAUUGAUCCUAGAUGUAUUGUGGACAUACCGCAGCUCUUUAUAAGCGUCCUGAUAUAGGCUAUUUGUGAGCUUCCUAAUAUGACUCGCUUGAACUUCCUGUUAUAUGGCUAUCUAGAGCUCCCUGAUAAUAUCUCUUCAGAGUUAGCUGUUAAGCUCAAUGAGUUUCUUGUUUUAAACUCUUAUGAGGUUCCUGUUCUAGCCCAGAUAAACUUCCUGUUACAUGGCUCACAUGAACAUUCUGUUAUAUGUCUCGAGAGAGUGCUUCCUGAUUAUGUGUCCUAAUGGGUACCCCUGAAUAUAAGUUGAUGGAUUACAAUUUUGUAAACUUCGAGUGUACUACAUGUGUAUCUAUUGAUAUUUCAAAUAAAUUCAACGAGUAAAGUUCUGACAUGGUUAAACUAAACUUAAGAUGAUUUGUUAUAGAAAUGUACAUGUUAUAUGGAAAUAAGAUAUGAAAAUCAUAUGUCUAUGAAAGUUAUUAUAUAAUGAGCUCAUCCUUGAUUUUUUAUGUUUACAUGUAAUACAUGACUAACAAGUUUCUUGAUGUUUAGGCAAAUUGAUGGUUUGGUCAUGUGUCUCCUGCAACUUAAAAAUUUGAGAAAUAGAAUACUUCGAAUUGCUCACACGGGCAGAGACACGGGCGUUUGUCUCAGUUGUGUGUGACACACGGCCUAGCACACAAGCGUGUAACUUGGCCGUGUGACCCCUGCACUUAAUUUUCAAAAAUUAAAUUGUCCACAUGGCCUAACACAUGGGUGUGUGGCUAGCCGUGUGACCUAAGUCAAAGAGUUACAUGGGUAUGGACACAGGCUGGGACACGGUCGUGUGCCUCACAUCGAAUGCCCACACGGCCUGACCACACAGGCGUGUGUCCCCUAUACUUUGGAAAAAUUUUGAGAUUUUGCGAAAAAUUUCCUGAGUUCCCGAUUUAGUCUCGAUUUGUUUCAAAUGCAUAAAUUGGACCUCGAGGGUUCAUUUAAGGGACAACAUGAUUGGAUAUGAUUAAUUUUGGAUAUGAAUAGUAAAUAACAUGAAUUAAUUGUAUUUAUUCUGUAAAUUUCGAUAAUGCUCCGUAACUUUAUUCCGGCGACCGAUAUGGGUUAGGGGUGUUACAAAAAGGGUAUUAAUUGUAAAAUGGAUUGGAAUGUAAAAUAUAAGUUGAUAAUUUAGGAAUUUUAUAUUUUAGAUCAAAAUCUCAUAGAUGCUCGUAGAAAAAAAUUACGAAAUAGUCCUUAAACUUUUGCAACUACUAUAAUUCAAUUUAGGUAAGUUUGUACGGUUUAAAAUUUAAUAUUUAUAUGAAUUGUUGAAUAGUAUAACAUGACACAAUAUAUAUAUUCCAUUGUUGAUAAUGAAUGAUUAUUUGAGAUAUGAUAUUGAAUUUGAUGUUUGAAUUGGAUUGAACGCGGUAUAAAAUACAGUCGUGAUAUGGUUGUUGUGGGGGAUUAGAGUGGAGAUGGUUUUGGAGUGAUGUAUAUAUAUUUACCGAGUAAACCAAGAUUUAACAUUUAUUGCGAACUCGUGUUAUACACUCUGUUUGGUGUGUUUCGGGUGAACUAGCUCUUAUGAGUAUUGGUGUGUUUCGGAGGGAUUGGCUCAUGUGAGCAUCUGGUAUUUUUUGGAUGGACUGACGAUGUACUCCUAUCCGUAAGUCAUUUUUCGAAUUGGAAAUCUUGGUAAGGUAAUUCAUUUAAUGAAUUUGAUAGAUUUAAUAUAUACUUGAGUAUUGAAUUGAACGUCUAUAAUUUAUCGGUUGAGAUUGUGGAUGACAGGGAACCUUCAUGGUUGAAUUGUUAUUGUUUGAAUUAUUGUAUUUAUUUCGGUAAGAUUUAUCAUUUUAAUACGUCGAACUAACUAAGCUUGGUUGAGCUUACUUGUGUUAUUUAAUGUUCUUGUAGAUACUCGGAAGGUUAGAUGAUCAGAUAGCACUCAAGUCACACUAUCCAACAUAAUUUGACAAUUUUUGAAAUAUUUAUUUCAGAUUAUAUGGCAUGUAAUAGGAUUGAAUGUUGAUAUUAAUGUUUUGGAUAUGUAAAUAGUUAAGUAUGAUCUUGAAUGUAUUAGUUGUUUUGGUUGAUACUCCUUUUUAGUACUUUUGGUGCCUUAUUAGUAUAUGUUAAUGUGGCUAUAUUUUAAUGCUUGUUUGAAUGACCAUAAUGGUUUGUGAUGAAUUGGUUUCAAUAUGAUCAAGAAAUGGUAUGUUUUUGAGAUGGUAUUGAACUAGAUAUGUAUGAUUGAAAUGUGAUAAGGUAUAUAUGUUUAAGUAUGUUUGAAUGUUUGCAAUUGAG
This 8996-nucleotide long non-coding RNA is filed under the name Gossypium barbadense (sea-island cotton). Its description in RNAcentral is "long non-coding RNA (GBAR_LNC021490)". Lineage: Eukaryota; Viridiplantae; Streptophyta; Magnoliopsida; Malvales; Malvaceae. The record is from RNAcentral.